RNAcentral lists this ribosomal RNA (425 nucleotides) under uncultured bacterium. RNAcentral's name for it is "bacterial SSU rRNA". It matches the Rfam family "Bacterial small subunit ribosomal RNA", at positions 354 to 796 of the family's 1533-position model. The record is from RNAcentral.
GUGGGGAAUAUUGGACAAUGGGCGCAAGCCUGAUCCAGCCAUGCCGCGUGAGUGAUGAAGGCCCUAGGGUUGUAAAGCUCUUUCACCGGUGAAGAUAAUGACGGUAACCGGAGAAGAAGCCCCGGCUAACUUCGUGCCAGCAGCCGCGGUAAUACGAAGGGGGCUAGCGUUGUUCGGAAUUACUGGGCGUAAAGCGCACGUAGGCGGACAUUUAAGUCAGGGGUGAAAUCCCGGGGCUCAACCCCGGAACUGCCUUUGAUACUGGGUGUCUGGAGUAUGGAAGAGGUAAGUGGAAUUCCGAGUGUAGAGGUGAAAUUCGUAGAUAUUCGGAGGAACACCAGUGGCGAAGGCGGCUUACUGGUCCAUUACUGACGCUGAGGUGCGAAAGCGUGGGGAGCAAACAGGAUUAGAAACCCGAGUAGUCC